RNAcentral lists this ribosomal RNA (746 nucleotides) under Virgibacillus sp. RNAcentral describes it as "bacterial SSU rRNA". It matches the Rfam family "Bacterial small subunit ribosomal RNA", at positions 94 to 824 of the family's 1533-position model. The record is from RNAcentral. Lineage: Bacteria; Bacillati; Bacillota; Bacilli; Caryophanales; Bacillaceae.
AGCGGCGGACGGGUGAGUAACACGUGGGCAACCUGCCUGUAAGAUUGGGAUAACCCCGGGAAACCGGGGCUAAUACCGGAUAAUACUUUUCGUUGCAUAACGAGAAGUUGAAAGGCGGCUUUUAGCUGUCACUUACAGAUGGGCCCGCGGCGCAUUAGCUAGUUGGUAAGGUAACGGCUUACCAAGGCGACGAUGCGUAGCCGACCUGAGAGGGUGAUCGGCCACACUGGGACUGAGACACGGCCCAGACUCCUACGGGAGGCAGCAGUAGGGAAUCUUCCGCAAUGGACGAAAGUCUGACGGAGCAACGCCGCGUGAGUGAUGAAGGUUUUCGGAUCGUAAAACUCUGUUGUCAGGGAAGAACAAGUGCCGUUCAAAUAGGGCGGCACCUUGACGGUACCUGACCAGAAAGCCCCGGCUAACUACGUGCCAGCAGCCGCGGUAAUACGUAGGGGGCAAGCGUUGUCCGGAAUUAUUGGGCGUAAAGCGCGCGCAGGCGGUCCUUUAAGUCUGAUGUGAAAGCCCACGGCUUAACCGUGGAGGGCCAUUGGAAACUGGAGGACUUGAGUACAGAAGAGGAGAGUGGAAUUCCACGUGUAGCGGUGAAAUGCGUAGAGAUGUGGAGGAACACCAGUGGCGAAGGCGACUCUCUGGUCUGUAACUGACGCUGAGGUGCGAAAGCGUGGGGAGCGAACAGGAUUAGAUACCCUGGUAGUCCACGCCGUAAACGAUGAGUGCUAGGUGUA